GAUUUCUGGCGAGUCGCAUUUUGCCGGCCACGGUUUCGUGUGUUAGUGCUUGAUGUUCUGGCCAUCCUUCCAAUCGCUGCGCGUCCUUCUUCACUGAGGGGCGCGCGGUAUUGGAUCUUUUACUUUGAAAAAAUUAGAGUGUUUCAAGCAGGCUUUAUGCUAUGAAUACAUUAGCAUGGAAUAAUAAUUUAGGACUUCGGUUCUAUUUUGUUGGUUUCUAGGACUGAAGUAAUGAUUGAUAGGGAUAGUUGGGGGUGCUAGUAUUCAGCGGCCAGAGGUGAAAUUCUCGGAUUCGCUGAAGACUAACUUAUGCGAAAGCAUU
RNAcentral lists this ribosomal RNA (322 nucleotides) under Sandonidae sp. RNAcentral describes it as "SSU rRNA". It matches the Rfam family "Eukaryotic small subunit ribosomal RNA", at positions 632 to 955 of the family's 1831-position model. The record is from RNAcentral. Lineage: Eukaryota; Cercozoa; Glissomonadida; Sandonidae.